RNAcentral lists this transfer RNA (73 nucleotides) under Bos taurus (domestic cattle). It matches the Rfam family "tRNA". From Rfam's summary of the family: Transfer RNA (tRNA) molecules are approximately 80 nucleotides in length. Their secondary structure includes four short double-helical elements and three loops (D, anti-codon, and T loops). RNAcentral also lists the same sequence under 4 other names. The record is from Rfam by way of RNAcentral. Lineage: Eukaryota; Metazoa; Chordata; Mammalia; Artiodactyla; Bovidae.
UCCCUGGCAGUCCAGUGGUUAGGACUCGGCACUUUCACUGCUGAGGCCCCGGGUUCAAUCCAGGGUCGGGGAA